GUUAUACAGGUCACAUAAUCUCAGCAAACAUACCCACCGUUUUUAGUUUGUUUCUUUUACAGGAGUUGAGCUGUUUGAUCAUAAAAUUCAUCGGGAAGAACAACGCAGCAAGAGCAGUGAGAACAGGCUUUUCCAGGAAAAACGUUGAGUCGUGGGUUGAGGCCCCAGGAAAGGCUGGCAUUCGAGAGGCUGGUGCAGGCAUUACUCUGGACGCUUGGGGUACACAGUGAACCAAACAAAGACCCCUCCUUUGUGGAUGUUCCAUUCUAGACAGACAACAGACACUGAACACGGCGAUCAGGUGAGUAGGUAGAAGGUGGCUGGUGUUAUGGGAAGAGAAAGCUGCGGGGGAAGGGCGGUGGGGAGAGGGGUGAGGUGGGUGACGGGGGUAUUCUUGGGAACAGGG
RNAcentral lists this long non-coding RNA (406 nucleotides) under Mustela putorius furo (domestic ferret). Its description in RNAcentral is "lncRNA (ENSMPUG00000030443.1)". The record is from RNAcentral. Lineage: Eukaryota; Metazoa; Chordata; Mammalia; Carnivora; Mustelidae.